This is a long non-coding RNA of Bradysia coprophila, 2198 nucleotides long. NCBI's taxonomy places the organism in Eukaryota, Metazoa, Arthropoda, Insecta, Diptera, Sciaridae. The record is from RefSeq and is a predicted model, not a curated record.
UUAUUUUGUUGUCUACGCUCGAGGUCAUGAAGUAAGGGCCUGCCAAAAGGGGCCCAAAAUUGUUUUCUCGCGAUUAGUCGAGUAAAACCAUUUUGGGAAAAAACUUUUUUAGCUAGGCUUGUAGGCCUUGAAGAGACGCACAUUUUGAACAUGUUGACCUGUUGGUGAUAUCAAUCAUUUUAGGUGAAAAAAUUGGUGAUUUUCCCAAGUCCCUGACCGCCUGCAGUGACAUAAGUCCGAGACAUGGUAUGUAUGCCUAGCCUCUGUAAUACCAUAACAUGUAAAAACAUCCUUGGAUAAGUUUCCCUGCAAAGGGUUGGAGCGACUUUAGUGGAAGUCCACCCCAAGUCGACGAAAUUUUAUCCCUUUCGUUUGUUUUUCGCUUUUUUGAGGUUUUUUUUUUGCGGCUAUUCAUGUUUUAUUGCUGAAAAGAGUGAGAUCAACUAAAAUAAAGAAUUUUUCGAUGUAUUCACGUGGUUCUUACACUCUUGGAACCCAAAUUUCGAUCUAUGUGGACUAUUUUCUAUAUAAAAGUGGGAUAUGAAGCAUUUUUGGACUUUUUUUGUGGCUAGCGGAACAAAAUGUCUGAUUUUGUUCGAUGUUUUGGCGAUAUCACUCUUAACAAUACUGGCACUAAUGGUGGAAAUGUCACGUCUUGUGUGAAGUUUACUGAUCGAGGCGUAGCCGCAAUCAAAAACUUGCGGUAAAGUUUGGCACCCAUGAAGUAAAGUAAACUUUACCUCACGUUUUUGACUAAAAAUUCUAGUUCACGUGCAAGACUAACAGAGCAUACAACAGCGGCUUCUUGUAGCUAACUUCAUAUUCAAUAAGCUUUUUUUACAUAAAUUAAUUCGAGGAAAUCCGCUUAACAAACCAACAAAAAGUCUAAAAAUAAUUUGUAUUGCAGGUAGAUAUAGACGAAUAACUUUGUUAGCUUAUUGGUGGAUUUUUAGAGCGUGAGGUUCUAUUUUCAGUAAAGGCAAAACGUGACUUAGUCGUUGCAUGAAAUCUAACGUUGCUUUCUUGGGAGAAUCAUUUCAAGUAAAUCAAGUAAACGUGACUUCGUCGAUGGGAGAAUCAUUCCAAGUGCAUAGAAAAGAAGAUGUACCGUCUAGUCAGUUAUAAAUAUUAGAAGAACGAAUGUUCGCGUACACAAAAGGAGAUUUAUUUGCAGAAUACUCAAAGAAUGAGGCAGAGGUUACAGAAAACUCAUCCAGAAGAAUAGUGAACUGCCGUAUUAAGCAAAAACAUCGCAUGUCUCUUCGCAUUAGCUUUUAAAAGCUUUCGAAAUUUUUUUAAGCUUAGAGCUUCUUUUGAAUUCCAAUGGAAUGUUCCACUUUUUGAAUGGAAUCUAAAAGAAGCUCAAAGCUCACAGAAGCUUUCGAAAGCUCUUAAAAGCUAAUGCGAAAAGACAUGCGAUGUUUUUGGUUAACACGGCAGUAGAAGGAGUUGAAGUUAACGAUGCAUGCAAAUUAGGCUUGAACGAGCUUAAAGCUUGACUGUUAAUCCCAAUUAGGCUUCAACGAGCUUUAAGCUUUUUUUUUCAAUAUCAAAUUGCUGGAAUUUCGAUUAGAAUUCGGAAAUCGGAAGUUAUGACAUUCUUUUGGUCUAUAAACUGCUGAAACCUAUAUAUUUAUGUGGAUGUUGGUUUAAAUCACAAAUUAAUUGAAACUUUGUUUGUGUCGUUCGUAUGAAUUGUUCGAGCAAUCGUCUGUGUACAAAAAAAAAUGGAAAAACGUAUUUGUUGUUAAAUAAUCCUGGUGCCUUAUGGUUGCAAAAAAUAUUAAUCGGAUUUUUUACGGCGUGCAAAGAUCAAAGAAUGAAAAAAGCUAAUUUUGAAAUGACGAAACUCUAUUGCAAGCUGUAAUAGGGGCAUUCAACACUCAAUAUAUACUUACAUCUUUUUCGCAACGGUCAUCAUUCUGGCACAGAAAUGCACACAGCCUUGGAAAUGCAUGUAGCACAUCUGCUUCAAGUAGUGAGUCAAAUUUGUAUAAAAAAUGUUUUCAUGAAACACCUUCACCGAUAAAUUUGAUCAAAAAUCUUUACAGGUAAAGAACCUUACCACUUAAAUGUCAAUUUUUAGCCUACACAUUCUUAAAAUCGAUUUUUAACCGUAGAUCAUGCGAUCUUCUACAUUUUUUCCCAUUCCCAUUCAUGGCUUCACGGUUAAAAAUCGAUCUUAAGAAUGUGUAGGC